GUGCCCGUGGUGUAAAGGCAGCAUAUCCGCUUGUGAGGCGAACGGUGCCGGUUCGAACGCGGUCGGGCACA
RNAcentral lists this transfer RNA (71 nucleotides) under Singulisphaera acidiphila DSM 18658. Its description in RNAcentral is "tRNA-His (GTG) (tRNA-His-GTG-2-1)". It matches the Rfam family "tRNA". From Rfam's summary of the family: Transfer RNA (tRNA) molecules are approximately 80 nucleotides in length. Their secondary structure includes four short double-helical elements and three loops (D, anti-codon, and T loops). The record is from Rfam by way of RNAcentral. Lineage: Bacteria; Pseudomonadati; Planctomycetota; Planctomycetia; Isosphaerales; Isosphaeraceae.